This is a long non-coding RNA of Rosa chinensis, 380 nucleotides long. RefSeq lists it as uncharacterized. The transcript has 3 exons. The record is from RefSeq and is a predicted model, not a curated record. NCBI's taxonomy places the organism in Eukaryota, Viridiplantae, Streptophyta, Magnoliopsida, Rosales, Rosaceae.
UUUAGGUUAACCCAAAGCUCCCCAUGUAUUUGUUACCAGUACCGUCAAAAAGCCCCUUGGUGCUAAGAAAACUGGGAAAACUGGGGGACUUGGUGCUCGCAAACUCACUACAAAGCCAAAUGAAAGUCUGUAUGAUCAGAAGCCUGAAGAACCAGUUAUCCCAGUAGUUUCCUCAACCAAAAGCACUCCACCAGCUGUCACACCCCUUUCUGCACCCAAGUCAUCGAGUUUCUUUGCGGAUUUCGGAAUGGAUAGCAGUUAUCCCAAGAGAACUAGUUCAAACUCCUCAAAGGUGCAAGUACCAAGGUUUUAGAGAAGUGAAUUCUGAGCUUUCCUUUUAAUCAUCUAGUCAAAGACAAGGAAAAAAAAAAAAAAACAGA